RNAcentral lists this ribosomal RNA (1614 nucleotides) under metagenome. Its description in RNAcentral is "bacterial LSU rRNA". It matches the Rfam family "Bacterial large subunit ribosomal RNA", at positions 1275 to 2925 of the family's 2925-position model. The record is from RNAcentral.
GGACUUUUAAGAAGAGAGAAUGCCGGAAUGAGUAGCGAGAGUAAGGUGAGAAUCCUUACGGCCGAAUAUCCAAGGUUUCCAGGGUAAAGCUGAUCUGCCCUGGGGAAGUCGGGACCUAAGGCGAGGCCGAGAGGCGUAGCCGAUGGACAACAGGUUGAGAUUCCUGUACUACAGUAUGACAGAACUGUGGGGACGCAGAAGGAGAGCACUACCUGGAAUGGAAUCCAGGGGCAAGCACAGGAGGGGUACGGCUGAAAAAACCGCCGUGCAACCCAAAGGUGUGACGCAUACCGAACUAAAGUAGGGAAAUGUGUGAGCCGGCUGCCGAGAAAAGCCGCUAUUGUUUGUACUGUACCCGUACCGUAAACCGACACAGGUGGAUGAGGAGAGAAUCCUAAGGCCGACGGAAGAAGCAUUGCUAAGGAACUCGGCAAAAUGACCCUGUAACUUCGGGAGGAAGGGUGCCUCGAAAGAGGCCGCAGAGAAUAGGCCCAAGCAACUGUUUAGCAAAAACACAGGUCUAUGCAAAACCGCAAGGUGAAGUAUAUGGGCUGACGCCUGCCCGGUGCUGGAAGGUUAAGGGGAGAUGUCAGGAGACGAAGCAUCGAACUUAAGCCCCAGUAAACGGCGGCCGUAACGAUAACGGUCCUAAGGUAGCGAAAUUCCUUGUCGGGUAAGUUCCGACCCGCACGAAAGGCGUAAUGAUUUGGGCGCUGUCUCGGCAAUGCAUCCGGUGAAAUUGAAGUGCCAGUGAAGAUGCUGGCUACCCGCGCCAGGACGGAAAGACCCCAUGGAGCUUUACUCCAGCUUGAUACUGGGAUUCGGUAUUGUAUGUACAGGAUAGGUGGGAGGCUGAGAAAUGGUGACGCCAGUCGCCAUGGAGCCGCUGUUGGGAUACCACCCUUGCAGUACUGGAUUUCUAACCAGCAGCCGUGAUCCGGCUGGGGGACAAUGUCAGGUGGGGAGUUUGACUGGGGCGGUCGCCUCCGAAAGGGUAUCGGAGGCGCUCAAAGGUUCCCUCAGAAUGGUCGGAAACCAUUCGAAGAGUGCAAAGGCAGAAGGGAGCUUGACUGCGACACCGACGGGUGGGGCAGGUACGAAAGUAGGACUUAGUGAUCCGGUGGUAUUAAGUGGGAAUGCCAUCGCUCAACGGAUAAAAGCUACCCUGGGAUAACAGGCUUAUCACUCCCAAGAGUUCACAUCGACGGAGUGGUUUGGCACCUUGAUGUCGGCUCAUCGCAUCCUGGGGCUGUAGUAGGUCCCAAGGGUUGGGCUGUUCGCCCAUUAAAGCGGUACGCGAGCUGGGUUCAGAACGUCGUGAGACAGUUCGGUCCCUAUCCGGCGUGGGCGUAGGAUAUUUGAGAGGAGCUGACCUUAGUACGAGAGGACCGGGUUGGACUGACCUCUGGUGCACCGGUUGUCAUGCCAAUGGCACAGCCGGGUAGCCAAGUCGGGAAGGGAUAAACGCUGAAGGCAUCUAAGCGUGAAGCCCCCCUCAAGAUGAGAUAUCCCCCGCAUAAGCGGUAAGACCCCUUGAAGACGACGAGGUAGAUAGGGCAGAGGUGGAAGUGCAGUAAUGUAUGGAACUGACUGCUACUAAUAGGUCGAAGGCCA